Molecule: transfer RNA, 60 nt
Filed under: Demodex folliculorum
Lineage: Eukaryota; Metazoa; Arthropoda; Arachnida; Trombidiformes; Demodicidae
Description: tRNA-Lys
Source: RNAcentral
CACCAAAAAGCCUCAAGGCAACGGUCUCUUAAACCGCAGAAUAGUUUUUACUUUUGGUGA